UGCUAUACUAUUCGGCCCUAGGUGAGGCUUCUUGGACACUUUGAGCCCUUGAAGACACACUCACCGUCUAAACGUAAUUAACAAGGUAAUUAACAAUAAACCAAGUUGCAAAGGAAAUAAGAGAACUCCCUUUGUUGAUCCUCUUUUGGUUAGUGCACUUCCUUGUUGUCUUUGAUUGUUGAUCUUCCAAGUGUUUGUAGUGUUUAUUUCAAGAAUGUUUGUUUCGGCUUUGACCUUGUCUUCUCCUUAGAAUGAUGGCUUUUAAUCCUCCAAUUUCCAGCACCUAGC
This 288-nucleotide long non-coding RNA is filed under the name Phaseolus vulgaris (common bean). RNAcentral's name for it is "long non-coding RNA (PVUL_LNC001606)". The record is from RNAcentral. Lineage: Eukaryota; Viridiplantae; Streptophyta; Magnoliopsida; Fabales; Fabaceae.